UAACAAAAAAGAAUCAUAAAGCAAACUUGAAUGGUGGUUAGUUAAAAUUUCGCUCUCUUUUUCUUUUUCUCGCUCACUAUCUUCAUUUUCUCUCGUUUCUUUUUCAACAUCUUUUUCUAUAUCAAUUUUUUUCUCAAUCUCAAUUUCUUUUUCAAUUUUCUUUUCUUCAUGUUCUUUUUCUCUCACUUUUUCGAUUUCUUUUUCUUUUGCAAUUUCUUUUUCUUUUUUGUUUUCUUUUUGUUUUCUUUCAAUUUCUUUUUCAAUCUCUUUCUCCUUUUCUCUCUCAAUGGAUUGCUUCAUUUUGAAUUGGCCUUCUUGCACUUGUUCCGGUGUGAGCGGCGCUAAAGUGAUUUUCCUUCCUUGAUGCUUGAAGGAAUACCUAUUGGUACGUUCAUCG
RNAcentral lists this long non-coding RNA (397 nucleotides) under Gossypium raimondii (Peruvian cotton). Its description in RNAcentral is "long non-coding RNA (GRAI_LNC010479)". The record is from RNAcentral. Lineage: Eukaryota; Viridiplantae; Streptophyta; Magnoliopsida; Malvales; Malvaceae.